CCAUUAGAUGUUCUGGGCUGCACGCGUGCUACACUGAUUACUUCAACAAGUGUUUUAACUGGAGAGUUCGCGUAAUCCUGAAAUGUUAUCGUGAUGGGAGUAGAGUAUUGUAUUUGUUAAUCUUUAACGAGGAAUUCCUAGUAAGUGUAGGUUUAUAAGUUGUUCUGAUUACGUCCCUGCCCUUUGUACACACCGCCCGUCGCUCCUACCGAUUGAUUGAUCCGGUGAAUUACAUAGAAUUUUGCGUUUUACAUGACGGAAGAUGAAGUGUUUUAAACCUUAUCAUUUAGAGGAAGGAGAAGUCGUAACA
Molecule: ribosomal RNA, 310 nt
Filed under: uncultured eukaryote
Lineage: Eukaryota
Description: partial 18S ribosomal RNA
Rfam family: Eukaryotic small subunit ribosomal RNA
Source: RNAcentral